Long non-coding RNA from Bufo bufo (common toad), 193 nucleotides. RefSeq lists it as uncharacterized. Lineage: Eukaryota; Metazoa; Chordata; Amphibia; Anura; Bufonidae. The record is from RefSeq and is a predicted model, not a curated record. The transcript is spliced from 2 exons.
GGCCCAUUGUAGAAAUGCCUAUUCUUGUCCGCAAAACGGACAAGAAUAGGACAGGACAUGUUCUAUUUUUUUUGCGGGGCUACGGAACGGACAUACUGAUGCGAACAGCACACGGGGUGCUGUCCGCAAUUUUUCGGACCCACUGAAAUGAGCGUGUCCGCAUCCUAUCCGCAAAAAUAAAAAAACGGAACGG